Molecule: ribosomal RNA, 484 nt
Filed under: uncultured bacterium
Lineage: Bacteria
Description: partial 16S ribosomal RNA
Rfam family: Bacterial small subunit ribosomal RNA
Source: RNAcentral
AUUGAACGCUGGCGGCAGGCCUAACACAUGCAAGUCGAGCGGAUGAAGGGAGCUUGCUCCUGGAUUCAGCGGCGGACAGGUGAGUAAUGCCUAGGAAUCUGCCUGGUAGUGGGGGAUAACGUCCGGAAACGGGCGCUAAUACCGCAUACGUCCUGAGGGAGAAAGUGGGGGAUCUUCGGACCUCACGCUAUCAGAUGAGCCUAGGUCGGAUUAGCUAGUUGGUGGGGUAAAGGCCUACCAAGGCGACGAUCCGUAACUGGUCUGAGGGGAUGAUCAGUCACACUGGAACUGAGACACGGUCCAGACUCCUACGGGAGGCAGCAGUGGGGAAUAUUGGACAAUGGGCGAAAGCCUGAUCCAGCCAUGCCGCGUGUGUGAAGAAGGUCUUCGGAUUGUAAAGCACUUUAAGUUGGGAGGAAGGGCAGUAAGUUAAUACCUUGCUGUUUUGACGUUACCAACAGAAUAAGCACCGGCUAACUUCGUG